GCGCCUGUAGCUCAGUGGAUAGAGUGACGGCCUCCGGAGCCGUAGGCCGGGCGUUCGAAUCGCCCCAGGCGCGCCA
Molecule: transfer RNA, 76 nt
Filed under: Pseudoramibacter alactolyticus
Lineage: Bacteria; Bacillati; Bacillota; Clostridia; Eubacteriales; Eubacteriaceae
Also listed under: 4 other names
Description: tRNA-Arg(ccg)
Rfam family: tRNA
About the family: Transfer RNA (tRNA) molecules are approximately 80 nucleotides in length. Their secondary structure includes four short double-helical elements and three loops (D, anti-codon, and T loops).
Source: RNAcentral